UUGAGCCUAGGCAGACUUGAAAAGGUCAUGAAGGCUACCUUGUUUCAUGUUCCGCCUGCGGGAGAUCACGUCCGCUUGCAUCCGUACCAGCGUCAUAUUCCCACUGUGCUCCACACUUUACAGAUGGCGACUGGCCUUGGUUGGAGAUGGAAAAUCGACUGAACAAAAAAACAAACGAUGAUGAUGAUGCGAAUAAAAAAAAAGUACUAUAGGACACCUAGCGGCUGGUUCGGCAGCUGCCAAGCCCACGGUCAAGCCAGCGAAAAAUCCAAAAUGGCAGCCUUUUGGCGGCCGCCGCUUGCAUUUUAGUCCGGAAAAUUGAACUUUCGGGCCGCAAACUGCACGCAAAACUGGUUGUUAAUAUGUACUAUUUCAAUCGGCACGGUCAGCCUCUUCAUUUCCAGGAAUUCCUACAUGGCUUGGAACCCAGCAGAAGACUAUUUGAAUAUUGUUUUCCAAUGCAGUACAGACUUUGAACUACCUGUAGCCUGUCGUGCACCCUGGAACGAAGCAGUGCUUCGCUCGCUGCUUUUUUCUUUACGCCGGAGGUUGGCGGG
RNAcentral lists this unclassified non-coding RNA (557 nucleotides) under Ixodes scapularis (black-legged tick). RNAcentral describes it as "uncharacterized LOC115313773, transcript variant X3". The record is from RNAcentral. Lineage: Eukaryota; Metazoa; Arthropoda; Arachnida; Ixodida; Ixodidae.